This 305-nucleotide ribosomal RNA is filed under the name uncultured bacterium. RNAcentral describes it as "bacterial SSU rRNA". It matches the Rfam family "Bacterial small subunit ribosomal RNA", at positions 335 to 658 of the family's 1533-position model. The record is from RNAcentral.
GUUCCUACGGGGAGCAGCAGUGGGGAAUAUUGCACAAUGGGGGAAACCCUGAUGCAGCGACGCCGCGUGAGCGAAGAAGUACCUCGGUAUGUAAAGCUCUAUCAGCAGGAAAGAAAUGACGGUACCUGAGUAAGAAGCCCCGGCUAACUACGUGCCAGCAGCCGCGGUAAUACGUAGGGGGCAAGCGUUAUCCGGAAUUACUGGGUGUAAAGGGAGCGUAGACGGUGAAGUAAGUCUGGAGUGAAAGGCGGGGGCCCAACCCCCGGACUGCUCUGGAAACUAUUUGACUGGAGUGCAGGAGAGGG